CCAUAACAAGAAUUUUGGUCGCACAGUUAUAUGGAAACAUUUUCAGGCACACAUACAACCACCUGGCAGUAUGCUUUGCGGACAAUAUGUGAUGUACCACAUGUUAUCCUUUGCGGAUAAUCUUAGUUUGGACCGUGAUCGAUAUCCUCAGGGUCGUGCUGGUUUUGCAACCUGUCCAUUAUUGCCUGAUGAGAUAGCAAAUGUCCGAGAACGGUUGCUCGACUUCUUCAUGAAUGAGGUGAUAGACAUUGGUGGAUCAUGCAGGGUUGAGGGUGCUUCAUAUAACUAAAUCUAGCAUGGCUUCCU
Molecule: long non-coding RNA, 306 nt
Organism: Zea mays
Lineage: Eukaryota; Viridiplantae; Streptophyta; Magnoliopsida; Poales; Poaceae
Exons: 3
Source: RefSeq, a predicted model, not a curated record